RNAcentral lists this ribosomal RNA (492 nucleotides) under uncultured bacterium. RNAcentral describes it as "partial 16S ribosomal RNA". It matches the Rfam family "Bacterial small subunit ribosomal RNA", at positions 28 to 507 of the family's 1533-position model. The record is from RNAcentral.
GAUGGACGCUAGCUACAGGCUUAACACAUGCAAGUCGAGGGGAAACGACAUCGAAAGCUUGCUUUUGAUGGGCGUCGACCGGCGCACGGGUGAGUAACGCGUAUCCAACCUGCCCACCACUUGGGGAUAACCUUGCGAAAGUAAGACUAAUACCCAAUGACGUCUCUAGAAGACAUCUGAAAGAGAUUAAAGAUUUAUCGGUGAUGGAUGGGGAUGCGUCUGAUUAGCUUGUUGGCGGGGUAACGGCCCACCAAGGCGACGAUCAGUAGGGGUUCUGAGAGGAAGGUCCCCCACAUUGGAACUGAGACACGGUCCAAACUCCUACGGGAGGCAGCAGUGAGGAAUAUUGGUCAAUGGACGAGAGUCUGAACCAGCCAAGUAGCGUGCAGGAUGACGGCCCUAUGGGUUGUAAACUGCUUUUAUAAGGGAAUAAAGUGAGUCUCGUGAGACUUUUUGCAUGUACCUUAUGAAUAAGGACCGGCUAAUUCCGUG